GAUGAAGAACGUAGCGAAAUGCGAUAAGUAAUGUGAAUUGCAGAAUUCAGUGAAUCAUCGAAUCUUUGAACGCACAUUGCGGCCCCUGGUAUUCCGGGGGGCAUGCCUGUCCGAGCGUCAUUACAACCCUCAAGCUCAGCUUGGUGUUGGGCCCCGCCGCCCCGGCGGGCCCUAAAGUCAGUGGCGGUGCCGUCCGGCUCCGAGCGUAGUAAUUCUUCUCGCUCUGGAGGUCCGGUCGUGUGCUCGCCAGCAACCCCCAAUUUUUUUCAGGUUGACCUCGGAUCAGGUAGGGAUACCCGCUGAACUUAAGCAUAUCAAUAAGCGGAGGA
This 329-nucleotide unclassified non-coding RNA is filed under the name soil metagenome. RNAcentral describes it as "partial contains 5.8S ribosomal RNA, internal transcribed spacer 2, and large subunit ribosomal RNA". The stretch from base 1 to 120 matches the Rfam family "5.8S ribosomal RNA", at positions 35 to 154 of the family's 154-position model. The record is from RNAcentral.